Molecule: ribosomal RNA, 457 nt
Filed under: uncultured bacterium
Lineage: Bacteria
Description: bacterial SSU rRNA
Rfam family: Bacterial small subunit ribosomal RNA
Source: RNAcentral
GGCGGCGCGCCUAACACAUGCGAAGUCGAACGAGAGAUGAAGAGCUUGCUCUUACAAAUCGAGUGGCGAACGGGUGAGUAACGCGUGAGGAACCUGCCUCAAAGAGGGGGGACAACGGUUAGAAAUGACUGCUAAUACCGCAUAAGCGCACAGUACCGCAUGGUACGGUGUGAAAAACUCCGGUGGUAUGAGAUGGACCCGCGUCUGAUUAGCUAGUUGGUGAGGUAACGGCCCACCAAGGCGACGAUCAGUAGCCGACCUGAGAGGGUGACCGGCCACAUUGGGACUGAGACACGGCCCAGACUCCUACGGGAGGCAGCAGUGGGGGAUAUUGCACAAUGGAGGAAACUCUGAUGCAGCGACGCCGCGUGAGUGAAGAAGUAUUUCGGUAUGUAAAGCUCUAUCAGCAGGGAAGAAAAUGACGGUACCUGACUAAGAAGCCCCGGCUAACUACGUG